RNAcentral lists this ribosomal RNA (494 nucleotides) under uncultured bacterium. RNAcentral describes it as "partial 16S ribosomal RNA". It matches the Rfam family "Bacterial small subunit ribosomal RNA", at positions 28 to 507 of the family's 1533-position model. The record is from RNAcentral.
GACGAACGCUGGCGGCGUGCUUGACACAUGCAAGUCGAACGGAAAGGCCUGCUUUCCCUUGUGGAUUGCGGGUACUCGAGUGGCGAACGGGUGAGUAACACGUGAGUGAUCUGCCCCCAACUUGGGUAUAAGCCUGGGAAACUGGGUCUAAUUCCCGAUAGGACUGCAGGGUGGUGCCUGUGGUGGAAAACGAUUUUCUAGUGGUUGGGGAUGAGCUCGCGGCCCAUCAGCUUGUUGGUGGGGUAAUGGCCUACCAAGGCGGCGACGGGUAGCCGGCCUGGGAGGGUGGACGGCCACAUUGGGACUGAGAUACGGCCCAGACUCCUACGGGAGGCAGCAGUGGGGAAUAUUGCACAAUGGGCGGAAGCCUGAUGCAGCGACGCCGCGUGGGGGAUGACGGCCUUCGGGUUGUAAACUCCUUUCGACCGCGAGGAAGCCACCUGGUUGGAAGGGUGGUGACGGUAGUGGUAGAAGAAGCACCGGCUAACUACGUG